GACGAACGCUGGCGGCGUGCUUAACACAUGCAAGUCGAACGGAAAGACCCUGCUUUUGUGCGGUGCUCGAGUGCCGAACGGGUGCGUAACACGUGAGUAACCUGCCCUUGUCUUUCGGAUAACUUCAGGAAACUGGGGCUAAUAUCGUAUAGGAGAUCCUGCUCCAUGGUGGGGGUUGGAAAUUUUCGGCGGUUGGGGCUGGACUGGCGGGUUAUCAGCUUGUUGGUGGGGUAGUGGUUUACCCAGGCUUUGAAGGGUAGCCGGCCUGUGAGGGUGACCGGGGACAAUAGUCCUGCGGGAGGGAGCAGUCGGCUACGGUAGGCAGUAGGGGGGAACAUGACACAGUGGGCGGAAGUGGGUGGCAGAGGCCCCCGGGUCGGGAUGACGGCUUUUGGGGUGUGAACAGCUUUCGCCUGUGACGAAGCGGUAGUGACGGUAAUGGGUAAAGAAGCACCGGCUAACUACGUG
Molecule: ribosomal RNA, 468 nt
Filed under: uncultured bacterium
Lineage: Bacteria
Description: partial 16S ribosomal RNA
Rfam family: Bacterial small subunit ribosomal RNA
Source: RNAcentral